This 7447-nucleotide long non-coding RNA is filed under the name Malus domestica (apple). RNAcentral describes it as "long non-coding RNA (MDOM_LNC006311)". The record is from RNAcentral. Lineage: Eukaryota; Viridiplantae; Streptophyta; Magnoliopsida; Rosales; Rosaceae.
ACAGAGACUAUAGUUUACCAAAAGAAUGACAUAUAAAACAACGCCAAGAGCCUCAGCUGAUAAAAAGCCUAGUGGAAAUAUAAGAAGCAAACGCAUUUCUGAUCUAAGAGUAAACUGCAAUAAAGUUACCACAAGGAAAACAAAGAUGAAAAACUUUCCAAAGUUGAGUGAUCGUUACAAAGACAGGUCUGAUACCAAAUUCAGUUAAACGUGCCUAAUGCCCCCACAUCAUCACACAGAGACUAUAGUUUACCAAAAGAAUGACAUAUAAAACAACGCCAAGAGCCUCAGCUGAUAAAAAGCCUAGUGGAAAUAUAAGAAGUGUUGAUGCACAAAACCGGAUGGUCUUGGAACAACGUAAAUCCGACCGUGAAUCUGCACAAACGCUCAAGAACACGAAGAACACAAAAGAACACAAGGAUUUUAUCGUGGUUCACCCCAAUGUUUGGGCUACGUCCACACUGUAGUUGAUUGUGUUUCUCUGUAUGUGUAUGGAUACAAGUGUUUGGGGAAGUCCCCCGGAGAAAGGAGGGUGAGGGAGAAGGAAGGAGAGCCUCUUGAAUUGUAUGAGUUCUCUCUCUCUCAAAGUAUGAGAGCUUUGAGCCUUGUAGGAUGGCUUGGCUAUUUGCCUCCCUUAGAAUGAGGGGAGGAGUCCCCUUUUAUAGAAUAAGGGGUUCCUCCUCUUUUACAAAGUAUGGGCUUUAGUGUGAGGCCCAAAUAUACGAGGCCCAAUAUAUGGUACCAACAGGAGUCCCCCAAGUCUUCAGUCAAAGGAGUCUUUUGGCUGGAGACUUCAAAUCCAAUCCAUGUACGGGCCGAAGUGGCUAGAUGUCCUGAACCAGUAUCAACCCAAGGUAAUGCUCAACAUAAAGCAAUACUCGGCUAGAGGUAUCACACGUUACGAGACUGCUCGGCUGGAGGCGAUACUCGUUGCGAGGCUGCUCGGCUAGAGGCUAUGCUCGUUGCGAGGCGGCUCGGCUCGUGGUAUUCCUCAUUGCAAGUAUCUACUUUAUGUCGACAUGCACUCAGUAUGAGUUGAUUCUCGACAUGACUCGGGUCUGCUUGUCGGGUUCGCAUAUUGGGUCUAUGUGUCGGAUCCGCGGAUCGGGUCCGCAAGUCGGAUCUUUGAAUCGGGGCCAUACGUAGGGGCAUCGAGUUGGGACUAUCUGUAGGGUCAUCGAGUUGGGUCCAGGCACAUAGGUGUCCCAAUAAGCGAAUGUCCGAGCAAGUGGGUGUCCGGUCAGACAAGAGAUCACCACAAGCACGUGGCUCAUCAGUCUAUAAGUUGGUAGACCUCGUUAAUCAGCAACAAUGUUGAUCAGUGGACCUAGUUGCUCAAUAAUUCCUGACAAUAAAUGACAGUAUAAUCAUGAGCGUAUAAUGAAUAAAUAUAAUAAAUACGUAAAGAAAAUAUGGUAACAACAAUUAUUUAAUAUGUAUAUUUCUUAUAAGUGUAAAACCUUGCCAUGCGUAUUAUAGCAUAGUUUUAGGUUAUAAAAGUGGAUUAGUUCUUUUGGAUUUGAGCUGAUAAUUUCAACAUAAUUUAAAAUGCAUGGGUGUGGCAACCCACAUCCACUUUCAGCAUCUGUUGUAAACCCACCAUCUGGUCAAGCUUCCUCUUCAUGUUUGUAGCAUAGUCAUGGGCGAGCCGGUGCAACUGCUUAUUCUCAUGCUUGAGCCCUCUAAUCUCCUGUUUGAGACUCAUCACUUCAGCAGCCAAUGAUUCAACUUGGCGGGUUCUAGCAAAUAGGCGUUGGGCCAUAUUAGACACAGAACCUGCACACUGAACACUAAGAGCCAGAGAGUCCUUAACAGCCAACUCAUCAGACCGUUUGGAAAGUAGUCUGUUAUCUUUGGGAGUGAGAAGGUUCCUGGCCACCACUGCAGCGGUCAUAUCAUUCUUCAUCACAGAAUCCCCAACGGUAAGAGGACCAGUAGGGGAUAUGAAGGAUGGGCGCCAUAUGUUGUCUGGAGAAGGCGUGGCUGUCUCUUCUCCAAGGUUCAAGUCAAAACGACGGUCGGAGGGUCCAGACAUUUUCAAAUGUGUUGAAGAAGGAAGAGGUCAGACAAAUCAAGAUCUUAGAAGUGCAAGAAAUGAGCUUCUACUACUGGUAGAGAUUCAAGUAUGCUGUGGAACUUAAUGCCAGCCUCUAUAAAAAUCUGCACUCGACGGAGCUUCAGAAAUCGAAGAGGCGUUUGCUUUCUCAAAAGCUGGGCUGCUCAGAGACCACGAGGGCCGAUCUCAGAAAUCGAAGAAGCACCUGCUUUUGCAGCCUCGUCAGCACCUGUCACAUGCACAAUCAGCUUUGCGGAAAUUACGGGCAAUCUGUCGAAGAUUUCUGGUGAAGCAGAAAGCACGUGAAUCUUACUGAUCAAUCACCGCUCUCCAUAUGCACCAUCAACUCCUCGGGUACCACAUAUAACUUUGUCAAAGAUCUCUGACAAAGUUUAGGCACGAGAAUUUCGAAGUGCCAGCUACCCUACUAUUACCCAUAAGGGUAAAGGAACAGCACCACUGCUUGACAACUGGAAAGUCCCUAUGUGUGUCGACCUCCGUGUUUUGUGGCAAGACAGGUUGGCAAGAACGACCAACCUUUACUCACAUUCGAGAAAAGACUCCCAACAUAAUUACUUUCUCAAAAACCGGAGUAGCACCGCUUUCCGAAUCUCGAGAGUCAGAUCCUCGACGGGAUUGCUUGUUCGAAAACCGAAGAGGCACAACUCUCAGAACUUCGAGAGCCAGAUUUCCUUAGAUAAAGCUUGUCUGUAAUCUCCACACGUAAUAUCAGCUUUCCAGAUACCACAUACCACUUUUUCAAAGUGCUCUGACAAAAUUAAAACACGUGAAGCUGGCAGCUCCCACUACAUUGCUGUGACCAAGAAGGGUAAAGGAAUAGCAUUACUACUUGUUAUUGGGAAAUCCCUAUAUACAUUGACCUCCCUCCUCAACAGACAGGCAAACCUGCAAAAAUGCUCAACCCUUUCUCACAUUCGAAAAGGCACCCUCAACAUAACCUCUCGAAAUACUCAGCUUUAUUUCCCCCCGAUAAUACCUCAGCAAAUAAGCCACACCAAGAACAAGAGUAUCUCAUAUCAUCAGGGUCGAAAGCAAGAGUAUCCCAUAUCAUGCUUUCUCCCUGUCUUUGUCUUUGUCCUUGUCCACACCUGCAGGACAAGGAGAAAGAGAGCAGUCAGUCGGAACCUGAAAUCAAACCUCCAAUUUGGAACUGACUGCCUGGAGCCUUUGCCUGGUUGCUUACUUAGCAUUGCUCUCGAGUACUCAUCCUCAACUGCUGUCAAGGUCACGAAUUCCACCGGCAAAUACCUCAUGACAGUUGAUCAGAUAUUGGCUCUUUACACUGAAGCUGCCAAGCAUGGAUGAGUCACUAUGAAGGAAUGUUCUGAAGGACCAUUUAAAUGCAAAGGUUGCACACCACUUCUGCCAUGCAAAAGAUUGAAGCAGAAGGUUCAACGGUGAGCUGAAACAGAUCACUACAGCACGACACCUUUCCAUACCACAUUCAUUAUUCCGUCAACAGCAAAAGUAUCCCAUAUCAUCAAGGUCGAACGUACUCUAGAUUUGAUGGACUUGUUUUGACCCUCAAAUUUUUGAGUCGGCCUUAUACUCUGAAGGGCACCAGAAAACCCUCCAGCACAGUUCAAGAAUAAGCCUGUGGAAAGUUACUUCUUCAAAAGCAAAAGUAUCUCAUAUCAUCUCUUAUCCAUUUGCUUCUCCUUAUCCUGGCAGUUGAAUGAGAGACAAGGAGAAUGAGAACAAUCAACCGGAAGCCGACGUCAAACCUCUGAUCCUGGGUUGCUUACUUGGAAGUUUGACUGCUUACCUUGUCUGUCACCUCUUUCGGCAGAUCUCCUAGCUCGGCGACUUGGGGGACUCCUACUAUAGGGUUUGUAUCACACUUGACUAAGCCCGAAACUACAACUAAGCUUCAAGUGAAAUUGAUACAUUACCUUGUGCGUCAACAUCAGCUAAGUACACCAUUCCCGGAUGGAGGAAAGGUAUUUCCAGAGAAGGGCAGAUGAAGAUCAGACCACACUUCGGUACUUAGAAGUUUCGUGAUUACUCAAGGGAUUGGAUCUUGCAAGUCCCCAACCGAGGAGUUUCCCUCACUCGGGAACUUAGGGGAGCACUGUUUGUACCAUACUUGACCAAUCCCGAAACUACCGAGCACCGGCCAACGCUAUACUGUCAAGGACCCAGAAGAGUUCCCCUCCGACCAGGAGGCCAAUCACUACUCGACACGUGUCAAGAUUAGAAGCCAAUCAGAGCGCAGCACGUGUCAACAUCAAGAACCAAUCAUAACAUGACACAUGUCAAUGUGACAAAGCUACAAGUUUUUCUAUAAAUAGGGGUCAUUCCCCCACAAUAUUGCCUAAUGCCAUUUUGUGUUAAAUCAUUCACAAGAACUCACUAAAUUGAGGGCUUGAUCCUUUGUACUUGUGUAAGCCCUUCACUACUAAUAAGAACUCCUCUACUCCGUGGACGUAGCCAAUCUAGGUGAACCACGUACAUCCUGUGUUUGCUUCUCUGUCUCUAUUCAUUUACGUACUUAUCCUCACUAGUGACUGAAGCAACCAAGCAACCAAGCGAAGGUCACAAAACCUGACACUUUCUGUUGUACCAAAGUCUUCGCUGAUUUUGUGCAUCAACAAGAAGCAAACGCAUUUCUGAUCUAAGAGUAAACUGCAAUAAAGUUACCACAAGGAAAACAAAGAUGAAAAACUUUCCAAAGUUGAGUGAUCGUUACAAAGACAGGUCUGAUACCAAAUUCAGUUAAACGUGCCUAAUGCCCCCACAUAUAAACACAUAUGAAAUUCUAUGCAAUGAAGGCGUAUAAGCAGGGGUGUCAGACAUUACUUUCUUUUGGACCAUUGAAUUCCACAUUGAAUUCAUUUAGCCCAUCGUUUAUUGUCUCCACAUUAUAGUCACUCAUCAUCCUGAAAAUCAUUGAGAAAAGAAAGGAAAACAAAAGCAUUAGAAAUAGUGUUCCAAACCUCUAUAUCAUACCAGAGAUGAAGUUAGCAACCUGAUUCUACAUCUACCAAAGAGACUGUAGAUACCCAUUUGGUAAACCAAAGGGAGAAAUCCAACCUUAAGAAACACAGAAUGCUAAGGUUAGAGGUAUUAUAGUAACAAACAACUUACAACUUCAUGACAUCCAUCUCUCUCCGCUUGCUUGGAGAAGACAUCUUAGCUUAUUAAAAUUAAAUUCCCAAACCUGUCACAAGAAUACUAAAGUAAUCAACUUUUCAAGGAAAUAAAAUUCAAAGAAAUUAAAUAACCAUAGGGUCUGGUGGGUUAGCUAGAUAUAUUGUAUAAUGGUUGAAACUAAAACAGUCUAAUAUACAAGAAAAAGGGUACACUGACCUUCCAGAAAUCAACAAGAAUCGCAAAAAUAAAGGGUGAUGUAGAAGCAGAAGUAACAAAAACAUGAGAUUUUAAUCGAUGUCCAAAAUCAAGGUAAACACAUAUAUGUAGAUUACAUAAACAAAAUCAGUGAUACAAUCUAAACAAGUUAAAAGUCUGCUUAAACAGGGAACUGUUCUUCACAAACCAUGACCAUCAAAGAAACAGACCUAUGUUACAUUAUUAAUCAUACCAGUCUAUAUAUGUAGUAGUGCGUUUUGUUAGAUACUUUUAUACUCAUUGGAUGAUGCAGCAGAAAGAAAGCCACCUCAAUUAAAACUAACAGAGUGUCUCCGUGCGUUAGUUCAACAGAACCAAUCAACAGGACAAAGUAGAAAAAUAAAAAAUGAUAUUAGAGCUUAGAUUUCCACAAGUGCAACUUAAGGGUCACAGGACCAUCUUCCAGAUGACAGGUAAAGCUUGUCAAGACACCAACUGCCUGUGAACUAACAGCAUAUCCUACAAAACUAAACCACCGAGUCGAAAGCCUUCAAAGACCACUUUUUUGAAGUAAUUUAAACAGGUUUUUUGUUACAUAUACUAACACCAAAUUAGCUCAUAGUACGACAAUGACAUCAGAUUGCAGAAUCUAAAUGCAUUGCCUGUACCUCGCCCCGAAGUACAAACUAAGACCUCUCCUUAAAAUGGUCUUUGCCUCCCCUAAAGUUGGACCACAACCAUAACAAGCUACCAUCAAACUGACUAGCUCAACUUGGAUAGUAAGUCCCUAAACAAAAAGCCAAAAGCUCGGUUCCUUGCAAUUCGAUAUACUACAUUGCCAAGCUAACAUAUUUUAUCAUCCGAAAGUUUGUUAAUGCAAGCAUACUUAUGGGAAAUCUUGGAAAAUCACACUCAUGGGGGGAUUAAAUUUUAAAAUUCGGCCAUCACAAUAUGAUCAGACAAAUGCAAUGCCACUGUUUUCUGCAUAGAAUAAUGAAGAUACAAACUUUGAGCAAUGAUAGGAUUCCAAAAUUUCUUCUUUCCAAAUUAUUAGACAUACCCAGUGACGCAUACAACCCCCUCCAAAAAUUUCACCAAAAAAUUUCAUUAAAAUUGAAAAGAUUUUGUGAAUCAAUUUCAUAAGCGUUUGUGAAGUCUAACAAUUAAAAGAAAGCUGCAAUCUUUUGAAGAUCUAAGACCUACCCAGAAAACCAUAUACAAAGAAAAGAGAAACAGUUUUGUUCCUGGAGAUUGUCAAUGAAAAAUAAAAAUAAAAUAGCGAGAGAGGAUCGGAACUGGGUAUCUUACACGAGCUACUUAUUUAACGGGGCGACCCUUUUCUUGUCCGCUUGAAGAUUUUCCCGAGAAACAAACAGAAAAUUGAGAAAAUAUGAGAAAAUAUGGAAUUGGAGAAGAAACUACGGGUAGGAGUGGAGGGAGGAGGUGGAGGGUGAGAGGGAGAGAGAGUUGGAGGUGGGGUGAAUGUCGACACGCACGUGUUCAAAUGAUAGUGUUAUUACGUGGCAAGCAAGAGAAACAACUAGUAAUAAGCCACGGUUAUCAUCCCUUUCAGGAACCGAUAAGACUCGUAAAGGUAUUUCAGUCUCGCUGACCACAAGCAAGACUUGAGGUGGUCUCAAAUUAAAAUUUUAUGUUGUGGUUGCAAAUAUAAAUUUGAUUGAUAAUUACAGAGUAAAGUUUAAUCACCAAUUAUAAUGGUAAACCCAAAAACUAAUUAUGGUAUAUUGUUGUAGUUAUUUAUUUAUUUAUUUUCCUUGUUCAUUGAACCAUAACAUUUUAUUUAUAUGGACCGUUUUAAUCACUAAUUCUCUAUGUUACUAUUAUUAAUUUUUGGCAAAACUAUUAUUAAUUUUUGUUGAAAAUAUUGUAAUUUGUUUUAUUUUGUUGAAAAUAUUUUAAUUUGUUAAAAUAGUGGGAUGUGCAUUUCCAUUUUUUAUAAAAUAACUCCAUAGUUAAUCAAAUAAUUGAAUGAAACCAAUUACUGAUUUUACUUUAUUCACCACAAGAUGGCCUAGUGGCUGUAAACGAAUUCCAGACCCGUAUUUUACAUAGCACGCCCUG